This 1188-nucleotide ribosomal RNA is filed under the name Triticum aestivum (bread wheat). RNAcentral describes it as "partial small subunit ribosomal RNA". Lineage: Eukaryota; Viridiplantae; Streptophyta; Magnoliopsida; Poales; Poaceae. The record is from RNAcentral.
AUGGCGAUUGCUGGCGGCGCAGGCGGCGACUGCGGCGGGUCUGCCGGCGUUGGACAUGAUGGUCCACCUGUGGGAGAUAUAUGCGGGAGCUCAAACCCUAGCUGGCCGUCGGAUACUAGCAUCCCCAGCCAGAGCCCCCAGCACUGUCUCGAAUAUGCGGUGGCAAGAUCUUGGGCCAGGGCAGUGAAGGAGAAUCCGUCGGAGAGUCAUCGGAUUGCCUCCUCAUUCGGCGGCGUCUAUUUGAGUGAUGAUGUUUGGGAAGUUAGAAUGCACUUCCAUGACAGAGACAACUUGGAGAGAUCAGUUUGCAUUUCAGACAUAACAUAUUAUAAUUUGGUUGCCCUAAUAGAGACGGAGGGAUAUGGGCUUAAUGAUUUCAUGUAUUUUCUGAGGGAUCCUGGUGUGGGGAUUACAGGAAUGGAUGAAAUUUGUGAUGAUGAAAAGGUGGAUGAAAUGCCUGACCAUAUUGCUAACAAUGAUCAGCAUGUAGUGAACUUGACAGUGGUUAGGGGCACUGAUCCAAGACCUGCAGAUUUGAACUCAGGCUAUCUGGUUGAUGAGCAGGUUCCUUUGAGCCAUAUAGGAGAGAACCAUGUAUAUGUAGUAAAUCCUUCUGGUGUUAUCUUAAGAUCACCACCAAAAAGUAUAAUACAGAGUCAGCCAGAGCCAUUGCGGUUCUACACUACACAACAGAGCACAAACCAUGAUCUGGAUACAAAUGCUGCCAUGGACCAAUCCAAUGCAGCAGAUCAGGAUGAACUGGAGACAUUAAUGGAGUUGAAGAGGAGAACGAAGAUUGCCAAAUUUAGGAAACAUAAGAUUGCAGCUGAGCAUGUAAAUAAGGUUAAGCAGAAGCUACCAAUUCUUCUAACUGAAGAUGAUUCAGAUCUGGAUGCAGAUGAGGACUAUCUUCAAAGGCUUAAUGAGAUGAGGAAGCAAAGAGAGGAUCCACUCAUUCAUUUUGACGGAGACACUGAUGUGGACGAACUGUAUGAGGAAGAUGAGGAGGUGGAGCAAGAGGAGCAGGUGCACCAAGAGGAGCAGGUGGAGCAAGAUGAGCAGGUGGAGCACCAAGAGGUGCCUACAAAGAAGAAUAAAGCUAGAAAAGGGCCAACAGAGAGGAAUAUGAUGAUGGAGCUGAGGAAGUACAAUUUGUUCUGCCCAAUGGAAGGAAGAGCAGAUCAGUGA